Molecule: ribosomal RNA, 184 nt
Filed under: uncultured bacterium
Lineage: Bacteria
Description: partial 16S ribosomal RNA
Rfam family: Bacterial small subunit ribosomal RNA
Source: RNAcentral
AACCCGACUCCACGAAGUUGGAUUCGCUAGUAAUCGCGCAUCAGCCAUGGCGCGGUGGAUACGUUCCCGGGCCUUGUACACACCGCCCGUCAAGCCAUGGGAGCCGGGGGCGCCUGAAGUCCGGGACCGCGAGGACCGGCCUAGGGCGAAACUGGUAACUGGGGCUAAGUCGUAACAAGGUAGC